CCGAGUUGUCGAAACGGGCUGCUGCUGGCUCCUUUCGGGGGGCAUGUGCACGCUCGUUCGCAUCCCAUCCUUCACACUUGUGCACCAUCUGUAGUUCCGAGCCGAUUAUCAGAGGCGUUCGCUCACCUCAAAAGCUUGGUUCUAUGUCAUUUUCGACGACGCUCUAUAUAGUUCAAUAGAAUGUGUUCACAGGCGUGUACGACGUCUGAUAAAUAAUAUAUA
RNAcentral lists this unclassified non-coding RNA (222 nucleotides) under uncultured Thelephoraceae. RNAcentral describes it as "sequence contains ITS1". The record is from RNAcentral. Lineage: Eukaryota; Fungi; Basidiomycota; Agaricomycetes; Thelephorales; Thelephoraceae.